GCCAGGUAAGGUGGGGCAUGCCUUUAAUCCCAGUGACUUGGGAGGCUGAGGCAGGAGGAUCACAAGUUUGAGACCAGCCUCAGCACUUUAGCAAGACCCUGUCUCAA
Molecule: small RNA, 107 nt
Filed under: Marmota monax (woodchuck)
Lineage: Eukaryota; Metazoa; Chordata; Mammalia; Rodentia; Sciuridae
Source: RNAcentral